Molecule: long non-coding RNA, 1632 nt
Organism: Electrophorus electricus (electric eel)
Lineage: Eukaryota; Metazoa; Chordata; Actinopteri; Gymnotiformes; Gymnotidae
Source: Ensembl
AUGAAGGCGGGACCCAGCCUGACCCGAGGGCUGCCCCGCUGGGGUAAAUCCCGCCUACUCACCUUACUGGCCUCUACCGAGGAGGAGGAGGAGGAGGAGGAAGAGCAGGUCCCUGCCGGUGCCGAGGACGAGAAUCAGGUGUUUGUGCCGAUGGGGCUGCGCACUGUGGCACCUGUGAGCACAGAGGUGGAGGAAACCAUGGAAGAGCUGGACAUCUCUGUGAACGUUCCUGAAGUCCUGGGAAUAUCCCACAAUGGCGUGUGUCCUGAGUCUUUGUGCAAGAACGCUCUGUCCCCUACUGGGUCUGUUCCCUGCGAGCACCAGCUUGACCUGCUUGUAGAUGUGAUCGAGUUCCUGACUCCGGACCACAUGGAAGUGUCUGAAGAGAGUUAUGCUGAGGCAGCUAGGACCCUGCUGACCAUCGGCCACGCAGCUCACGUGACCCCCACAGCAGAGGCAGUCAUGGGCCAUGCAGCUCACGUGACCCCCACAGCAGAGGCAGUCAUGGGCCGCGCAGCUCACGUGACCCCCACAGCAGAGGCACUCAGCACAGGUGAUGUUAUCUUUGUUGAAGAUCCAAGGCUUUCACAACAGGUAGUCCAGCAAGAAGUUGUUUUAGAAACAACUGACCACUCAGAGCCCAGACCUGAAACCAGCCGUGAGGACACCUUUGACCCUUGUGUCAGUAUCGUCUUAGACUGCAGUGGUGGUGCUGACCCAGUUGGUAAUGUCUGUGAGGGUACUGCUAGUACUCCAGAACCAACUUCCCAGCAAGACUCCAACUUCAUGGAAGAGCCAGUGGUUUCACAGGAAACCGAUGACCUGCUUGGCGACAGCCAAUCAGGGGCCUCCAACACCACCGUCCUACAGAGGGUCCACCUCCUUAGACCCAAACCCAACCUGUCGACAAUCCCCAGACGCACACAGGUCCAGCAGGAGGAGACGCCACCAGACCCUGGCCCUGCUGCCCAGAACCUCCUCACGGUGGCGCCAUCUCAGGGUGCUACAGAAGCCCGAAUGGUGAAAACCUCACGAGACCCUGGUGAGGCAGGUUCCACACCAACCCUGACUGGACCAGCUGGAGCUUGGGAGCGGGUGAGCGCUCCUGACCGGACAGCCCGUGUGAAAGGAGAAGGGGACAGACCCGGGCUGCCCCCCGACACACCACCAGAGGGUGGAGCCUCCGCUGGUGUGGUGGAGGUGGAGCAGCAGAGCGUGGAGGUGGAGAAGACCAUGGAGGUGGAGAAGAAUCAGCAGCCCCAACAACCACACGGCGUACAUGAACCGCAGACAGGAUCUCAUGGUUCUGAGAGUUCGGUCCAGCCCUCUCAGGCUCUGCGAAGGUUCCGUGGCCCAAAACCGAAACCCAACGUGGUCGGGUUCUCCAGAAACAGAACCCCUCGAACACAGACCCAUCAGAGCCCAGCAGUACCCACUGAGGCACAGGCUGCUGUGAUAUCCACAAACACUUUCACUGAUGCCCAGAGUACAGGAGGGGGCGGUCAUGUCACCCUAGAACCUGACAUGUCCCUAAACGCAAAGAGAGAGAGCGAGCUACCCUUGGACUCAGUAAUGGUGAGAAGGCCGAAUCUCCAUGUGCAGGUAGAAUGACUUCACAGAGCAGAACCUGAG